Molecule: ribosomal RNA, 557 nt
Filed under: uncultured bacterium
Lineage: Bacteria
Description: partial 16S ribosomal RNA
Rfam family: Bacterial small subunit ribosomal RNA
Source: RNAcentral
GUUGGGGAAUUUUGGACAAUGGGCAAAAGCCUGAUCCAGCAAUGCCGCGUGUGUGAAGAAGGCCUUCGGGUUGUAAAGCACUUUUGUCCGGAAAGAAAUCCUUGGCUCUAAUACAGUCGGGGGAUGACGGUACCGGAAGAAUAAGCACCGGCUAACUACGUGCCAGCAGCCGCGGUAAUACGUAGGGUGCAAGCGUUAAUCGGAAUUACUGGGCGUAAAGCGUGCGCAGGCGGUUUGCUAAGACCGAUGUGAAAUCCCCGGGCUCAACCUGGGAACUGCAUUGGUGACUGGCAGGCUAGAGUAUGGCAGAGGGGGGUAGAAUUCCACGUGUAGCAGUGAAAUGCGUAGAGAUGUGGAGGAAUACCGAUGGCGAAGGCAGCCCCCUGGGCCAAGUACUGACGCUCAUGCACGAAAGCGUGGGGAGCAAACAGGAUUAGAUACCCUGGUAGUCCACGCCCUAAACGAUGUCAACUAGUUGUUGGGGAUUCAUUUCCUUAGUAACGUAGCUAACGCGUGAAGUUGACCGCCUGGGGAGUACGGUCGCAAGAUUAAAACUU